UGGGGAAUAUUGCACAAUGGAGGGAACUCUGAUGCAGCGACGCCGCGUGAACGAAGAAGGCUUUCGAGUCGUAAAGUCCUUUUAUAUGGGAAGAUAAUGACGGUACCAUAAGAAAAAGCCCCGGCUAACUACGUGCCAGCAGCCGCGGUAAUACGUAGGGGCUAGCGUUGUCCGGAAUCACUGGGCGUAAAGGGUUCGCAGGCGGAAAUGCAAGUCAGGUGUAAAAGGCAGUAGCUUAACUACUGUAAGCAUUUGAAACUGCAUAUCUUGAGAAGAGUAGAGGUAAGUGGAAUUUUUAGUGUAGCGGUGAAAUGCGUAGAUAUUAAAAAGAAUACCGGUGGCGAAGGCGACUUACUGGGCUCAUUCUGACGCUGGGGAACGAAAGCGUGGGUAGCAAACAGG
RNAcentral lists this ribosomal RNA (402 nucleotides) under Verrucomicrobiota bacterium. RNAcentral's name for it is "Verrucomicrobia bacterium partial 16S ribosomal RNA". It matches the Rfam family "Bacterial small subunit ribosomal RNA", at positions 355 to 776 of the family's 1533-position model. The record is from RNAcentral. Lineage: Bacteria; Pseudomonadati; Verrucomicrobiota.